Molecule: ribosomal RNA, 390 nt
Filed under: Coxiella endosymbiont of Ornithodoros amblus
Lineage: Bacteria; Pseudomonadati; Pseudomonadota; Gammaproteobacteria; Legionellales; Coxiellaceae
Description: bacterial LSU rRNA
Rfam family: Bacterial large subunit ribosomal RNA
Source: RNAcentral
CGUGCACUGAAUCCAUAGGUGUACGAAGCGAACCUGGGGAACUGAAACAUCUAAGUACCCAGAGGAAAAGAAAUCAAUCGAGAUUCCGUCAGUAGCGGCGAGCGAAAGCGGAACAGCCCAGUUGCUAAAUCAUUAUUUGUUCUAGCAGAAUGUUCUGGAAAGUUCAGCCAUAGCGGGUGAUAGUCCCGUACGCGAAAGAGUAAAUAAUGUGGGUAACGAUGAGUAGGUCGGGACACGUGGAAUCUUGACUGAACAUGGGGGGACCAUCCUCCAAGGCUAAAUACUCCUUACUGACCGAUAGCGAACCAGUACCGUGAGGGAAAGGUGAAAAGAACCCCGACGAGGGGAGUGAAAUAGAACCUGAAACCGUAUGCGUACAAGCAGUAGGAG